UAUCCCUACGGGAGGCAGCAGUGAGGAAUAUUGGUCAAUGGGCGCGAGCCUGAACCAGCCAAGUCGCGUGAGGGAAGACGGUCCUAUGGAUUGUAAACCUCUUUUGUCGGGGAGCAAAAGACGCCACGCGUGGCGUUCCGAGAGUACCCGAAGAAAAGCAUCGGCUAACUCCGUGCCAGCAGCCGCGGUAAUACGGAGGGUGCGAGCGUUAUCCGGAUUUAUUGGGUUUAAAGGGUGCGCAGGCGGAAGACCAAGUCAGCGGUAAAAUUGAGAGGCUCAACCUCUUCGAGCCGUGGAAACUGGCU
Molecule: ribosomal RNA, 305 nt
Filed under: uncultured bacterium
Lineage: Bacteria
Description: bacterial SSU rRNA
Rfam family: Bacterial small subunit ribosomal RNA
Source: RNAcentral